This 1520-nucleotide unclassified non-coding RNA is filed under the name Athalia rosae (coleseed sawfly). Its description in RNAcentral is "misc RNA ENSAEAG00005003307.1". Lineage: Eukaryota; Metazoa; Arthropoda; Insecta; Hymenoptera; Athaliidae. The record is from RNAcentral.
GACUUCCGGUUUACUGAUACACCCGUACUCCAGCACCGUGCCGUGCGCCGCAAUUGAUUCUUUUCGAAAACUUACAGUCAUCGUUUCAUUUCAUUUAAAUCUUAAUUUGAUUACUAUUCGUUCAUAGUUGAUUUUUUCAUUAUCAUAUCUCACGGAACUUGCGAAAUCAUCUCCUUCUGGACAUCAGAUCUUUUACAAUAGCGUUUGAUGCAGGAUAGAUCGCGUGCUCCGAAUUUCAGAUACUUCAACUCUGAACUUUCGAAAUUAAGGAUAUAUCCAAAGCCAUCCAACGCCAAGACAUGCUUGAAAUAACGUGUAAUGAUCGACUGGGCAAGAAAGUUAGGGUGAAAUGUAAUCCAGAUGACACAAUAGGGGACCUGAAAAAAUUAAUAGCUGCACAAACGGGAACGCACUGGGAGAAAAUAGUCUUAAAGAAGUGGUACACCAUUUUUAAGGACCACAUCAAGCUGCAAGAUUAUGAAAUACACGACGGUAUGAAUUUGGAGCUGUAUUACCAAUGAUGAUACGAACCUCUGAUAUUAGGAUUAAAUUUAUACCUCUAAUGUUAAUAAUAAUUUUUUUUUAUUGUGGAAUUACAACGUGUCUAUAACUAUUUCUAUGGGUAAUUAUAUACUUUGUAAAUAACAGUUGAACAAGUCCAGCAUUCAACUGCAUAACUGUAGCGAUUAUAGGUAUUUAAGAUACAUGAUAGUCAGAAAGUUAUAUUUGUUACCCCCAGUUUUUAAAACGUGUUUGAAACUCUACUUUCAUCCAGGUAGAUUUAUAUUUUUUUUUUUAUUAAACAUUAGUUUGGUCUAUGUUAGUAAUUUUUGAAUAAAUAAAAAUUACAUCUCAAACAAUUAUGAAAUACUAUUUAAACCUAAUAACAAAGCAACAAUUCGUAACAAUUUGACUUAGAUGGGUAGCAUUCAAAAUUUUAUUCACACCAUUGGUAUUUUGUGAUUGCAAGAUCAACCUUCUGAUAGAUUUACGUUCAUGGAGGUAGCAUAUUGCAAUCUACAAAAUGUGGAGUACUGUUGUCAAAUGUCAUUCGAAGUUACAUUUUAUCUAAUUCAGAAUUUAGUUGGAUAUGUGAGAAAUCGAACCAGUGUCCUGGAAUCCUGGUUAUGCCCAGCGAUAUAUUUAACUAUAAAUUUCAUUAUGAAAAUAAUCAACUUUCUCUUUCACACAAUUGAUAUUAGUUAGAAAAAUAAAUAAAUUAAAUCCCGCGGUUACGUAUGGUAGUAAAAUAUAGCUAGAGAGCUAAAUGAUCACAAUAGUAUCCAAAGUUUACCUAUACAAAAAUGACUCGGGAGAAGUGAUCAGAUAUUUCAUAUCCUUGUAUGCCACCUCCACUUACAUAAUUUUUCUAAAAAGCAGUUUUAUACUCAACUGGUGAGAUAACAUAAAAUUACAUAUUCGUUUAAUAUUAAUUUCUCUAAUGAGGUCUCUUGAAUCCUCCCUCCGUACGGUUAAUUGGACUUUCAGCUUCAAUCGUAACUCUACCUCGGUUGGCUAGG